AUUGAACGCUGGCGGCAGGCCUAACACAUGCAAGUCGAGCGGAAACGAGUUAUCAGAACCUUCGGGGGACGAUAACGGCGUCGAGCGGCGGACGGGUGAGUAAUGCCUAGGAAAUUGCCCUGAUGUGGGGGAUAACCAUUGGAAACAAUGGCUAAUACCGCAUGAUGCCUACGGGCCAAAGAGGGGGACCUUCGGGCCUCUCGCGUCAGGAUAUGCCUAGGUGGGAUUAGCUAGUUGGUGAGGUAAGGGCUCACCAAGGCGACGAUCCCUAGCUGGUCUGAGAGGAUGAUCAGCCACACUGGAACUGAGACACGGUCCAGACUCCUACGGGAGGCAGCAGUGGGGAAUAUUGCACAAUGGGCGCAAGCCUGAUGCAGCCAUGCCGCGUGUGUGAAGAAGGCCUUCGGGUUGUAAAGCACUUUCAGUUGUGAGGAAGGCGGUGUAGUUAAUAGCUGCAUCGUUUGACGUUAGCGACAGAAGAAGCACCGGCUAACUCCGUGCCAGCAGCCGCGGUAAUACGGAGGGUGCGAGCGUUAAUCGGAAUUACUGGGCGUAAAGCGCAUGCAGGUGGUUUGUUAAGUCAGAUGUGAAAGCCCGGGGCUCAACCUCGGAAUUGCAUUUGAAACUGGCAGACUAGAGUACUGUAGAGGGGGGUAGAAUUUCAGGUGUAGCGGUGAAUGCGUAGAGAUCUGAAGGAAUACCGGUGGCGAAGGCGGCCCCUGGACAGAUACUGACACUCAGAUGCGAAAGCGUGGGGAGCAAACAGG
Molecule: ribosomal RNA, 767 nt
Filed under: uncultured bacterium
Lineage: Bacteria
Description: bacterial SSU rRNA
Rfam family: Bacterial small subunit ribosomal RNA
Source: RNAcentral